This 303-nucleotide ribosomal RNA is filed under the name uncultured bacterium. Its description in RNAcentral is "partial 16S ribosomal RNA". It matches the Rfam family "Bacterial small subunit ribosomal RNA", at positions 507 to 807 of the family's 1533-position model. The record is from RNAcentral.
AGCAGUCGCCGCGGGAAUACGUAGGGUGCAAGCGUUAAUCGGAAUUACUGGGCGUAAAGCGUGCGCAGGCGGUUCCGCAAGUCAGAUGUGAAAUCCCCGGGCUCAACCUGGGAACUGCAUUUGAAACUACGGAGCUAGAGUGUGUCAGAGGGGGGUGGAAUUCCACGUGUAGCAGUGAAAUGCGUAGAUAUGCGGAGGAACACCGAUGGCGAAGGCAGCCCCCUGGGCCAAUACUGACGCUCAUGCACGAAAGCGUGGGGAGCAAAUAGGAUUAGAUACCCCGGUAGUCCCUGUCUCUUAUAC